AGAGCGAGGACGCGAACAGGAACGAUGACUCAGGAUGAGGGUCAGGAGCGCCAGGAGGCGAAGACAGAGGAUUGUCAGGAAGACAAACGUCGGAGACGUAACUAAAGGGAAAUGGAAUCAACAUGGAAUGUUCCGGCUGAUGGAAAAACAGGGUGUGUUGGCGGCCUGCAAGGAUUGUAAGACCCGUUAAGGGUUAUGAGUCAGGAAAAAAGGUGACAGAGUAAUCUGUCGCCUUUUUUCUUUGCUCGCUU
This 251-nucleotide small RNA is filed under the name Escherichia albertii. The record is from RNAcentral. Lineage: Bacteria; Pseudomonadati; Pseudomonadota; Gammaproteobacteria; Enterobacterales; Enterobacteriaceae.